GAUGAACGCUGGCGGCGUGCCUAAUACAUGCAAGUCGAGCGAACAGACGAGGAGCUUGCUCCUCUGACGUUAGCGGCGGACGGGUGAGUAACACGUGGCUAACCUACCUAUAAGACUGGGAUCACUUCGGGAAACCGGAGCUAAUACCGGAUCAUAUAUUGAACCGCAUGGUUCAAUAGUGAAAGCCGGUUUUGCUGUCACUUAUAGAUGGAUCCGCGCCGCAUUAGCUAGUUGGUAAGGUAACGGCUUACCAAGGCAACGAUGCGUAGCCGACCUGAGAGGGUGAUCGGCCACACUGGAACUGAGACACGGUCCAGACUCCUACGGGAGGCAGCAGUAGGGAAUCUUCCGCAAUGGGCGAAAGCCUGACGGAGCAACGCCGCGUGAGUGAUGAAGGUCUUCGGAUCGUAAAACUCUGUUAUUAGGGAAGAACAAAUGUGUAAGUAACUAUGCACGUCUUGACGGUACCUAAUCAGAAAGCCACGGCUAACUACGUG
RNAcentral lists this ribosomal RNA (497 nucleotides) under uncultured bacterium. Its description in RNAcentral is "partial 16S ribosomal RNA". It matches the Rfam family "Bacterial small subunit ribosomal RNA", at positions 28 to 507 of the family's 1533-position model. The record is from RNAcentral.